GUCUGGAUGCGCUGGGUGGAUGCGGGGGAAGGGGCUCUUGGGAACUCGGUUGGAGCCAGGAGGCUCCAGCCAGGCGCAAGCACACACAGACUGCAGCCGCCUUAGGACCGCAGCCCCCACAGCCCACCUGGAGACUCCAGCACAGAAUGGCCUAGGGAUCCAGAUCCCACCAGUCUACAAGACCAGUGGAAAUUAGGGAGCGUCACGCCCUCCGCACAUCCGGUAAGAAGGAAGCAUCCUCCGGAUUAAAGAGAGAAGAGUGGAAAAAGUGCUUAGUCGCCAGCUGGGAGGACAGCGAUGCUGAGUUGCACUACGUCCACCAAG
This 324-nucleotide non-coding RNA is filed under the name Marmota monax (woodchuck). Lineage: Eukaryota; Metazoa; Chordata; Mammalia; Rodentia; Sciuridae. The record is from RNAcentral.